This 128-nucleotide small RNA is filed under the name Marmota monax (woodchuck). The record is from RNAcentral. Lineage: Eukaryota; Metazoa; Chordata; Mammalia; Rodentia; Sciuridae.
GCUAGGUUUGGUGACCCAUGCCUGUAAUCCUAGCGACUCAGGAAUCUGAGGCAGGAGGAUCUCAAGUUCUAGGGCAGCCUCAGCAGCUUAGCAAGGCCCUAAACAACUUAUUGAGACUCUUGUCUCAA